CCUACGGGAGGCAGCAGCAGGGAAUCUUGGGCAAUGGGCGAAAGCCUGACCCAGCGACGCCGCGUGGAGGAAGAAGUCCUUCGGGGCGUAAACUCCUGGACUGGGGGACGAGGAAGGACGGUACCCCAGUAGAAAGGGACGGCUAACUACGUGCCAGCAGCCGCGGUAAAACGUAGGUCCCGAGCGUUGUUCGGAUUCACUGGGUGUAAAGGGCGCGUAGGUGGUUGUCUGUGUCUCAUGUGAAAACUCAGGGCUCAACUCUGAGAUUGCGUGGGAAACUAGGCAGCUAGAGGACGGUAGAGGGGAGUGGAAUUCCCGGUGUAGCGGUAAAAUGCGUAGAUAUCGGGAGGAACACCGGUGGCGAAGGCGGCUCUCUGGGCCGAUCCUGACGCUGAGGCGCGAAAGCUAGGGGAGCGAACCGGAUUAGAUACCCGGGUAGUCCUAGCCGUAAACGAUGGGUGCUAGGUGUUGGGGGGUAAAGACCCUUCAGUGCCGAAGCCAA
This 502-nucleotide ribosomal RNA is filed under the name uncultured bacterium. RNAcentral's name for it is "bacterial SSU rRNA". It matches the Rfam family "Bacterial small subunit ribosomal RNA", at positions 338 to 855 of the family's 1533-position model. The record is from RNAcentral.